This 253-nucleotide ribosomal RNA is filed under the name uncultured bacterium. RNAcentral's name for it is "partial 16S ribosomal RNA". It matches the Rfam family "Bacterial small subunit ribosomal RNA", at positions 524 to 776 of the family's 1533-position model. The record is from RNAcentral.
UACGUAGGGGGCAAGCGUUGUCCGGAUUUAUUGGGCGUAAAGAGCGUGUAGGCGGCUGGGUAGGUCCGUUGUGAAAACUCGAGGCUCAACCUCGAGACGCCGAUGGAAACCAUCCAGCUAGAGUCCGGAAGAGGAGAGUGGAAUUCCUGGUGUAGCGGUGAAAUGCGUAGAUAUCAGGAGGAACACCAAUAGCGAAGGCAGCUCGCUGGGACGGUACUGACGCUAAGGCGCGAAAGCGUGGGGAGCGAACAGG